Long non-coding RNA from Papaver somniferum (opium poppy), 440 nucleotides. RefSeq lists it as uncharacterized. The record is from RefSeq and is a predicted model, not a curated record. The transcript is spliced from 4 exons. NCBI's taxonomy places the organism in Eukaryota, Viridiplantae, Streptophyta, Magnoliopsida, Ranunculales, Papaveraceae.
AAGUUAGCAUAGACACCGGCUCACUCUCCAUUCUAGCAAAAGAGUUAACACCCCAGAACCAGAAGAUAAUUUAUAAGUUCUGAGUUCAUCUAUUCACCCUGCAAUCUGGUUUUUCCCUCGGGAAACCUAACUACAAGAGGAGAGCCUAACUUAGAAGAAGACGACCACGGUAUCGAACAAACCAAAGAGGAGAUCGGAGAAGUUGAAGAUAUCAAAUUAAAGUUUACUUGAAGUGAUGUCUAUUACACCUCGAAGCAAAGAAUGGAUGGAUGCUCCACGACAGUCGGCUCAAUUUCUGGAAGGAGUUGAAUCCUUUAUCAGGUUCACAAAAGAUACUUAAGGGGCAGAUAGAUUAUACUGCUGUCCAUGCACGAAAUGAAAAUUAGGGGAGGCGGAAGUUCAACAUCAGUAAAAUUUAUUAGUACUGGAUUUUGAGUGGA